CCCUUUCUCUUUUUUAUCGAGGGUUAAUUAGGUUUCGAGCUCCCCUUCUCAUACACAUACAUAGCUCACAGAGAACGCCUCCUCCAUCUCUUCCCGAUCGUCCCUCCAUCGUCGUCGUCAUCGUCUGCGGCCUCGCCUCCACCACUCCUUCGAUUUCUUCUUCCACCUUCACUCUCUCACUUCUCUUACUGUUCAAUUCCUCGAGCGACGAUCUAUUUUUCUGAACAAUUUUCCCGUCGGUGAACGCAUCUCUGUUCUCUUCUGAGCUCGUUCCGAUUCACAGCCAUGAAUUCAUAGGUUAUGGAAGAUUGGAUACAAUUAUAUCAGCUGGAUAUAUACCAAGCUCAAAGUGUUAGGUGUGAUGCUAAGAGCUUGGAAGAUGCACUGAUCAAGCGUGUGAUGGUAACACCUGAGGAGGUCAUUACAAAAACCCUUGAUCCUGUUGCAGCUGUUGGUAGCAGGGAUGCAUUAGCCAAAUUCUAAAUCUGUCAUUGGAGUUCUUGAUAUCUAUGGGUUUGAAAGUCUUAAAUUCAAUUUAUUCAAGCUGUUGGUAGCAGGGAUGCAUUAGCCAAAUUCUAAAUCUGUCAUUGGAGUUCUUGAUAUCUAUGGGUUUGAAAGUCUUAAAUUCAAUUUAUUCAAGCUGUUGGUAGCAGGGAUGCAACUGAUGCAUUUGUUCUUCUAUGAAUUUGAAUUGAAUAGUUGAAUUUGUUGUAGGCUCUUGCUAGCUGAUGGCUAGUUGAUAUUGUACAAUUUAUCAUGGCACUUGCUUUCUAACAAGGUUGCAAGUUCUUGUAACUUUGUAACUCCAUCACUUUGUGGCGGUGGCAAGAGAAGAGGUGGUGGUGGCAGAGUUAGAGUUGGCCGGAAAGGGGAAACAGGCAAUGAGAAUGUCAACAGCAUUUUGCAUAACAGGAUGGUUAGCCCUCUUCUUCUCAAAGGAUAUGGAAUUGGAGUUAUCUCAUAUGUGGUUCCUAUAUAUAUGGCUGAAAUAGCACCAAAGAAUCUUCGAGGUGGAAUUGCAACAACAAAUCAGCUUAUGAUUGUUAUUGGAGCUUCAGUCUCAUUCUUAAUAGGAAUUGUCAUAACUUGGAGACAACUAGCUCUAGCAGGACUUGUUCCAUGCAUUUGCUUGCUGAUUGGUUUGUGCUUCAAAAUUGUGGAAUUUCUAUAAGCACUGGCUUUACUCAAGUGGAUGGUCGUGUUCUGCCUUCACCAAGGAGAAAGACAAUUCAGGCCUUGUUAGGGUACCAUAUUACAAGGCACCAAUAGAAGGAUCUGGAUAGGACUCAGAGCCAUGCUUGGAUAGUUUUUCAAAGGACAGCAUUGGAGUUGGUACAGAUUUAGCAUCAGUCAUGCCUGCUCUGUAUAGUAAAUCUCUAAUGCACAGGCAAUGAAAGAGCAAGCUCAACUGAGGGAGAAAAUGGCAUACCAAUACAAGCUUGGUAACUUUGAGGCUGCUGCUGCAAUCCAGAGAAGGUUGGAUCCUGAUGCUGCUUUAUAGUUGGAUAUAGCUUCCAUGAAUAAAUAUUGAGAAAAGAGAUUUCUGAUCAAAGAAUUUGGUGACAGCUUCAUGGAGCGCCAUCUUGGAGAUAUGAAUAAGCAACUUAGGCUCAAGGUUUUGAAAUAUAACAUACAUAUAUAUAUAUAUAUAUAUAUAGUAGGCAGAAGGGUUCAAUCUAAAAGCUAUGGAAAGCUUGUGGAGUUCAACUUCUGCUGCUACAAACAACAACUUAAUGAGAAGUCACGCCCCUUGAUCUUAGUGCAAUAACCCUGAGAAAUCUAUGGAAGAGUUCCGAGCAGCUAGUCAAAAACUUGGUGAUGGCGUGGGUGUAAAGUCUUUAAUGCAAAGCACGGGACUUGGAAUGAUUGCUGGCCAGUCACAGGAUAGAUUGAAUGGGCUGAAUCAAGGAGGACUAAGACAAAAAGCAGAAGCUUUGGCUGCUUUAAACUCUGCAUUUAAAUCAUCAUCCGGAACCAAAAGUUCUAGCCCUAAGACAACUGGAAGAAGUCAAGGAUCACAAAGAGCAGCAGCAGUAGCUGCUCUCUCUCAAGUUCUUACUGCUGAGAAGAAGAAACAAUCACCUAAUUCUUCUCCUGUGGCAACCAGAAGUCCUGUUGUGGAAACUAGCACUUCCGGUCAUACGAAGUGGAAUCCCCAACUUCUGUGCAGUUGCAUUAGCUCUCAAUGAGUUAGGAUACAAAGUAGUUGGCAUUAGACUGGACUCUGGUGACCUUGCCUAUUUGUCUUGUCAAGCCAGGAAGAUCUUUUGCUGCAUUGAAAAGGAAUUCGCGGUGUCUGACUUUGGGAAGACUAGUAUUACAGCUAGUAAUGAUCUUAAUGAGGAAACUUUAGAUGCUUUAAAUAAACAGUUUCAAGUGGUGUGACUGAAUUUCUAAUGCACAUAUGUGAUAUCAUGUUCUUGAGACUACACUUUAGGCUCUCAUGUUCUUGCUUUUCUUCUUGUGUUGAUGUUGAAAAUGCAAUUCUCACAAUGGAUAGAGCAAGCUUCUGAACCCAACAAGGAAGCAGUUAUUAAAGCAGUGUUGUUGGCUGGAGUUCCAGGAGCAGGAGGAUUUGAUGCUGUCUUUGUUGUUACUUUGGGAGAUUCAAGCAGCAAUGUGACAAAAACAUGGAGCUCACUAAAUGUUCUUGCCCUUCUGGUUAAAGAAGAUCCUUGUGGCGUUUCUUUAGAAAGUGCUGACCCUAGAACAAAUGAAAUCACUUCGGCUGUAUCUUCAAUUCAUAUUGAAUAAUUUAUUGUAAAUAUUGUUUAUUUUUAAUACGAUGAAUUUAUUUUUUUUUGAAAUAUUGUAAAUAUUCGAAUAUGAAUUAGAUAAAAAUUUGUAUUAAAUUUA
Arachis duranensis is the source of this 2856-nucleotide RNA transcript. It is a transcript of the gene named villin-3, with no coding region annotated. The transcript is spliced from 17 exons. The record is from RefSeq and is a predicted model, not a curated record. Lineage: Eukaryota; Viridiplantae; Streptophyta; Magnoliopsida; Fabales; Fabaceae.